UUAUGAGAAGAAUAGACAGAUAUCGAUGCUGCCUGAAUGACGCUGAGAUCACUGUAAAAUGUCAAUCAAGCUUCGUGAUAAUGCCGGAUUAGAAAUUUAUCAACGAUUUCUCAUCGUUACAUCGCGUCGAAUACAGAGAUUAUGCUAAAUUCUAUGUACUUGGAUUUCCUACCUGUGGAAUAAAUUGGUUUGUAUUGUACGGAGUCCCAACUUUAUGAUGAAGAAUUAUUUCGAAAUCGGAUACUGUCUACUUGAACAUACAAAUUCCUGAUUCCAUACAUUUGGAAGUACGAGUGAUUAGAAAGUUAUUGGAAGUACCUGCUUAUAAUUGGUAAAAUUACGAGAAUUAUUUUAAGUAAAAUUCAACGUUCAUUGGUAAGUGAUUUUUUUCAAUUUUUAUAUUCGGACUUGCGAAGGUAUGUGCUUUCAUUUUGUAAUUCGUAAGCAAAAAUUGCAGAAUAUGCCGACUUUUCGAACGUAUUUUUUUUUACUGAUUUAAAGUUUAGAAUUGAAUUUAUUGUUUUCCAAAUCAAGGCACCUUUUAAAAAUGAAGCAAAAUUUUCUAGA
Long non-coding RNA from Planococcus citri (citrus mealybug), 567 nucleotides. RefSeq lists it as uncharacterized. The record is from RefSeq and is a predicted model, not a curated record. Lineage: Eukaryota; Metazoa; Arthropoda; Insecta; Hemiptera; Pseudococcidae. The transcript has 3 exons.